Molecule: transfer RNA, 72 nt
Filed under: Camelus ferus (Wild Bactrian camel)
Lineage: Eukaryota; Metazoa; Chordata; Mammalia; Artiodactyla; Camelidae
Rfam family: tRNA
About the family: Transfer RNA (tRNA) molecules are approximately 80 nucleotides in length. Their secondary structure includes four short double-helical elements and three loops (D, anti-codon, and T loops).
Source: Rfam by way of RNAcentral
GUGGGUAUAGCUCAGUGGUAGAGCACAUGCUUAGCAUGCACAAGGUCCUGGGUUCAAUCCCCGGUAUCUCCA